Molecule: small RNA, 148 nt
Filed under: Macaca mulatta (Rhesus monkey)
Lineage: Eukaryota; Metazoa; Chordata; Mammalia; Primates; Cercopithecidae
Description: Metazoan signal recognition particle RNA (ENSMMUG00000058500.1)
Source: Rfam by way of RNAcentral
GCUGGGCGUGGUGAUGUGCACCUGUGAUCCCAGCUACUUAGGAGGCUGAGGCAGGAGAAUCGCUUGAACCCAGGAGACACAGGUUGCAGUGACCCGAGAUCGGGCCACUGCACUCCAGCCUGGGCAAUAGAGCGAGACUCUGUCUCAA